This 1477-nucleotide ribosomal RNA is filed under the name uncultured bacterium. RNAcentral describes it as "16S ribosomal RNA". It matches the Rfam family "Bacterial small subunit ribosomal RNA". The record is from RNAcentral.
UGGCUCAGGAUGAACGCUAGCGGCAGGCUUAACACAUGCAAGUCGAGGGGCAGCGGGGAGGAAGCUUGCUUUCUCCGCCGGCGACCGGCGCACGGGUGAGUAACACGUAUGCAACCUGCCCCUGUCAGGGGGACAACCCGCCGAAAGGCGGGCUAAACCCGCGUACAUGCCACCGGGGCAUCCCGGAGGCAGGAAAGGCUUCGGCCGGACAGGGAUGGGCAUGCGGCGCAUUAGGCAGUAGGCGGGGUAACGGCCCACCUAACCGACGAUGCGUAGGGGUUCUGAGAGGAAGGUCCCCCACACUGGUACUGAGACACGGACCAGACUCCUACGGGAGGCAGCAGAGAGGAAUAUUGGUCAAUGGUCGGGAGACUGAACCAGCCAAGCCGCGUGAGGGAGGAAGGUACAGAGUAUCGUAAACCUCUUUUGUCAGGGAACAAAGACUGGGACGCGUCCCCGGAUGAGUGUACCUGAAGAAAAAGCAUCGGCUAACUCCGUGCCAGCAGCCGCGGUAAUACGGAGGAUGCGAGCGUUAUCCGGAUUUAUUGGGUUUAAAGGGUGCGCAGGCGGUCUGUUAAGUCAGCGGUCAAAGCCCGGGGCUCAACCCCGGCCCGCCGUUGAAACUGGCAGUCUCGAGUUGGAGAGAAGUAUGCGGAAUGCGCGGUGUAGCGGUGAAAUGCAUAGAUAUCGCGCAGAACUCCGAUUGCGAAGGCAGCAUGCCGGCUCCACACUGACGCUGAGGCACGAAAGCGUGGGUAUCGAACAGGAUUAGAUACCCUGGUAGUCCACGCAGUAAACGAUGAAUGCUGGCUGUCCGGGGGGACUGACCCCUGGGUGGCGAAGCGAAAGCGAUAAGCAUUCCACCUGGGGAGUACGCCGGCAACGGUGAAACUCAAAGGAAUUGACGGGGGCCCGCACAAGCGGAGGAACAUGUGGUUUAAUUCGAUGAUACGCGAGGAACCUUACCCGGGCUCAAACGGGGAGUGACUCAGGCAGAGACGCCUGUUUCCCACGGGACACUCCCCGAGGUGCUGCAUGGUUGUCGUCAGCUCGUGCCGUGAGGUGUCGGCUUAAGUGCCAUAACGAGCGCAACCCCCGCGUGCAGUUGCUAACAGAUAACGCUGAGGACUCUGCACGGACUGCCGGCGCAAGCCGCGAGGAAGGCGGGGAUGACGUCAAAUCAGCACGGCCCUUACGUCCGGGGCGACACACGUGUUACAAUGGGUGGUACAGCGGGAAGCCAGGCGGCGACGCCGAGCGGAACCCGAAAUCCACUCUCAGUUCGGAUCGGAGUCUGCAACCCGACUCCGUGAAGCUGGAUUCGCUAGUAAUCGCGCAUCAGCCAUGGCGCGGUGAAUAUGUUCCCGGGCCUUGUACACACCGCCCGUCAAGCCAUGGGAGCCGAGGGCGCUUGAAGUGCGUCGCCGCGAGGCGCGCCCUAGAGCGAAAUCGGUGACUGGGGCUAAGUCGUAACAAG